Molecule: small RNA, 128 nt
Filed under: Marmota monax (woodchuck)
Lineage: Eukaryota; Metazoa; Chordata; Mammalia; Rodentia; Sciuridae
Source: RNAcentral
GCCAGGCAUGGUGGGGCACGCCUGUAAUCCCAGCAACUCAGGAGGCUGAGACAGGAAGAUUGCAAGUUCAAGGCCAGUCUCAGCAGUUUCACAAGGCCCCUAAGGAACUUAGUGAGACCCUGUUUCAA